GGCUGAAAUUCGCCUUCAUGAAGCCGGAAUUGCUAGUAAUGGCAGGUCAGCAUACUGCCGUGAAUACGUUCCCGGGGCCUUGUACACACCGCCCGUCACACCAUGAGAGUUGGAGAUACCCGAAGCCUGUGAGCUAACAAACGAGGCAGCAGUCGAAGGUAGAAUCAAUGAUUGGGGUGAAGUCGUAACAAGGUAAC
Molecule: ribosomal RNA, 197 nt
Filed under: uncultured bacterium
Lineage: Bacteria
Description: partial 16S ribosomal RNA
Rfam family: Bacterial small subunit ribosomal RNA
Source: RNAcentral